CACUCAGGAAGUGGUGAAAGAGGAACUGACUUGAUCUCAAAAGAGUUCUGCACAUGAAAUGUAAGCCUAGGAUCUGCAAAAUGAAGAACAUGUUCCUGCUCAUUAUCUGGCUUAUAUCAGGUUUUCAAGCCUCAGCAAAAAGUGAAGGAUGUCUGGAAGACUGGACUAAAUUUAAAUGCAAACAAUCAGAAUUCAACUUUACAACUGAGGGCAUGUGUAUUAAACAAAUUAAAUCUGAUAAAAACAGAGACAAAUGUCCUCUUGCCCAUUAUUUGAAAAAAUAUGAAUUCACAUUGGACCUAAAAAAUAUCAAACCAAAAAAACAAAACUAUACAGAAACAGAAACAGAUAUUUGCAAGAAAUCACAAAAAAACAUCAGAUGUGAUUUUUCAAAACAACUCCUGUCCAAGAUCUGCAACAGCAAAAACAUUAUCUGUAAAGGAUCAUCUUCAUCAUCAGCUCAAUUUUCAAGUUGGGAAUCAUAUGCAAAAUCCAGCUGUAAAAAGGACUUAGAGAAAGCUUGUAUACACCACUGGGAAAGUAAAAAAUCAGAGUCAAAUGACAAUACAAAGAAACUCAUUUUAAGGGUUCUAAAUGUUAAAACCUUUGAAAGACCAUCAAGCCUUGGAAGUGACCUUACCUACUUUUGCAAAUAUAACAGAGACGAUUACCCAGUAAUCUGUAAGGGAGAAGAUCCAAAUCAAUGUAAGGUUGUUGGAACCACUGAAAAUAAUAACCAAAGGUUUACAAUAAAAAAAAAUGAAAAUAAAAAGAGGAAUAUAACUAUAACAAUGAGAGGAAUAACAGCCAAUGACUUUGGUACAUACUGGUGUCGAAC
Molecule: long non-coding RNA, 838 nt
Organism: Cyprinodon variegatus (sheepshead minnow)
Lineage: Eukaryota; Metazoa; Chordata; Actinopteri; Cyprinodontiformes; Cyprinodontidae
Exons: 4
Source: RefSeq, a predicted model, not a curated record